Maylandia zebra (zebra mbuna) is the source of this 228-nucleotide non-coding RNA. NCBI's taxonomy places the organism in Eukaryota, Metazoa, Chordata, Actinopteri, Cichliformes, Cichlidae. The record is from RefSeq and is a predicted model, not a curated record.
CGGUAAUUAAUUAGUAGUGGAAAUAAUUUCUGGUAGUGUAACAGUGUUUAUGUGGUAUUAUUCCACUUGCCACAAAUAUCAGUGUAAUGGGGAAACAGCGCCCCCCCCUCUCGGUGUGGCUGGCUGCAGUAAUCGCUGCCAGUCUGCCGUAGCCAUACGAGAGUGUGCUGUGCGGAGUGGUGUGUGGCGAGCCUGUGCACUGAUAAUACACCGUUGUUUCCAUUCAGG